This 910-nucleotide ribosomal RNA is filed under the name uncultured bacterium. RNAcentral describes it as "bacterial SSU rRNA". It matches the Rfam family "Bacterial small subunit ribosomal RNA", at positions 9 to 885 of the family's 1533-position model. The record is from RNAcentral.
GAGUUUGAUCAUGGCUCAGGACGAACGCUGGCGGCGUGCCUAAUACAUGCAAGUCGAGCGAGCAGAACUAACAGAUCUACUUCGGUAGUGACGUUUCGGAAGCGAGCGGCGGAUGGGUGAGUAACACGUGGGUAACCUGCCCUUAAGUCUGGGAUACCACUUGGAAACAGGUGCUAAUACCGGAUAACAACAAGUGCUGCAUGGCACUUGCUUGAAAGGCGGCGUAAGCUGUCGCUAAAGGAUGGACCCGCGGUGCAUUAGCUAGUUGGUAAGGUAACGGCUUACCAAGGCAACGAUGCAUGGCCGAGUUGAGAGACUGAUCGGCCACAUUGGGACUGAGACACGGCCCAAACUCCUACGGGAGGCAGCAGUAGGGAAUCUUCCACAAUGGGCGAAAGCCUGAUGGAGCAACGCCGCGUGAGUGAAGAAGGUUUUCGGAUCGUAAAGCUCUGUUGUUGGUGAAGAAGGAUAGAGGUAGUAACUGGCCUUUAUUUGACGGUAAUCAACCAGAAAGUCACGGCUAACUACGUGCCAGCAGCCGCGGUAAUACGUAGGUGGCAAGCGUUGUCCGGAUUUAUUGGGCGUAAAGCGAGCGCAGGCGGAGAAAUAAGUCUGAUGUGAAAGCCCUCGGCUUAACCGGGGAAUUGCAUCGGAAACUGUUUUUCUUGAGUGCAGAAGAGGAGAGUGGAACUCCAUGUGUAGCGGUGGAAUGCGUAGAUAUAUGGAAGAACACCAGUGGCGAAGGCGGCUCUCUGGUCUGCAACUGACGCUGAGGCUCGAAAGCAUGGGUAGCGAACAGGAUUAGAUCCCCUGGUAGUCCAUGCCGUAAACGAUGAGUGCUAAGUAUUGGGAGGUUUCCGCCUCUCAGUGCUGCAGCUAACGCAUUAAGCACUCCGCCUGGGGAGUACGA